This 484-nucleotide ribosomal RNA is filed under the name uncultured bacterium. RNAcentral describes it as "partial 16S ribosomal RNA". It matches the Rfam family "Bacterial small subunit ribosomal RNA", at positions 30 to 507 of the family's 1533-position model. The record is from RNAcentral.
AUUGAACGCUGGCGGCAGGCCUAACACAUGCAAGUCGAGCGGAAGAAGGGAGCUUGCUCCUGGAUUCAGCGGCGGACGGGUGAGUAAUGCAUAGGAAUCUGCCUGGCAGUGGGGGAUAACGUCCGGAAACGGGCGCUAAUACCGCAUACGUCCUGAGGGAGAAAGUGGGGGAUCUUCGGACCUCACGCUAUCAGAUGAGCCUAGGUCGGAUUAGCUAGUUGGUGGGGUAAAGGCCUACCAAGGCGACGAUCCGUAACUGGUCUGAGAGGAUGAUCAGUCACACUGGAACUGAGACACGGUCCAGACUCCUACGGGAGGCAGCAGUGGGGAAUAUUGGACAAUGGGCGGAAGCCUGAUCCAGCCAUGCCGCGUGUGUGAAGAAGGUCUUCGGAUUGUAAAGCACUUUAAGUUGGGAGGAAGGGCAGUAAGUUAAUACCUUGCUGUUUUGACGUUACCAACAGAAUAAGCACCGGCUAACUUCGUG